This 369-nucleotide unclassified non-coding RNA is filed under the name soil metagenome. RNAcentral describes it as "partial contains 5.8S ribosomal RNA, internal transcribed spacer 2, and large subunit ribosomal RNA". The stretch from base 1 to 120 matches the Rfam family "5.8S ribosomal RNA", at positions 35 to 154 of the family's 154-position model. The record is from RNAcentral.
GAUGAAGAACGUAGCGAAAUGCGAUAAGUAAUGUGAAUUGCAGAAUUCAGUGAACCAUCGAAUCUUUGAACGCACAUUGCGCCCGGCAGUAAUCUGCCGGGCAUGCCUGUCCGAGCGUCAUUUCUACCCUCGAGCGAGUCCAGCAUCUAGGUGCUGGGCCCGCCCGGCGUUGGAGCACUACGGGAAGCCCUGUGCUGUCCCCCGUAGGCCCCGAAAUGAAGUGGCGGUCCUGCCGCGGCGCCCCCUGCGUAGUAUAACAGCUCGCUUCGGGACCAGGUGGAGGCCUGCCGUCAAACAUAUACUCUCUAAGUUUGACCUCGGAUCAGGUAGGGUUACCCGCUGAACUUAAGCAUAUCAAUAAGCGGAGGA